This is a long non-coding RNA of Sinocyclocheilus anshuiensis, 1207 nucleotides long. RefSeq lists it as uncharacterized. The record is from RefSeq and is a predicted model, not a curated record. NCBI's taxonomy places the organism in Eukaryota, Metazoa, Chordata, Actinopteri, Cypriniformes, Cyprinidae. The transcript is spliced from 2 exons.
GAGACCUCCAGACGCGCGUAAACGCGUCUUUACAUUGACUUAACAUUGAAAUCAUUCGCGCCAGACGCUCUAUUCGCGUUUGGUGUGAACGCAGCAUUAUGGUUUAAAAAUCCAAAGUGGAAAUUUAAGAGACUAAAAUUGUGCAUGAACAAGUUUGGAUGUGUAUUAUACAAGAAAACAGGAACUACUACUGAAUCCAGUAUUCAAAUUUGGUGUCCAGUGACCCACUUCUAGAGAUACAGAAAUUUUACAUAUUUGCCCAAUAUAUUUUUUUAAUCUAGGAUGGAUGUUACGAAUAAGUUUAAACUAAAUGAAGAAAAUACUCGUAAUAAAUAACAGGGAUCCGAUCGAAAAUGAUCCCUCGAGUCCCUGCUGUCACUCCCAUGAGAGCAGGGAGGUGCGUGUUUAUAGUCUGGGAUGCUUAAAUACCACAGCAACCACUCAAGUCAGAUAGCUCCUCAUUAAUAGCACUAAUCGUGAACAAUUACAGCUAUACAGAGAGACGAGAGAAAGGGGGACAUGCAGAGGAAAAACUACACGCAGAAAUAUAUUCUUACCAACCCCAAACUUUUGAAUGAUAGUGUAAAUAUAAUGAGAUCAUUUGUAAUCUAAUUUAUAAUAUGUUUUAGUUCCUAAAGUGGCUUUCUCAGCCUCUCUGUUGACCUCUUUCAGACCACAAAGCAUUGGACCAUUUCGUAAUGGUUUACACACUCUGAUUUACAGAUAUGUCUUCCUCAAUACUGGAAAGGCCUAUGAUCCAAACACAGUAAUCUUUACAGCACCUGUGAGGGGAGCGUAUGCUUUCAGGGUCUUCUCCAAGGCUUUUGGGAGUCUAGAGAGAGCUGUUACCGCAGGCCUAUUUAAAAAUGGCCAGCAUAUCAUUUCUACACAUGGACACCAAAGCAAGUGGUUUUAUCAGCUCUUCAAAUGGAGUAUAUCUGGUGCUAGAAGGAGGGGAUAAAGUUUAGGUGAAUCUCUAUCCUGGACAAUGGAUUUUUGACAAUGGAGAACACCAUCACAGCACAUUCAGUGGACAUCUUUUCCUCAUGUGAACUUGCUGACCGUUUAUUCACCAAAAAAGCUUUUCAUACAUAAAGGAUGUACAAUCCUUUAAAAAAAUCAAUUUACUUAAUGCAUCUGAAUAUAUAAUCAAGUGGUUGCCAAAUUUAUAAAAUCAAAUCAAAUAUUCUUCAUAUCAUGGCUUUAA